GAGGGUAGAGCUCGGUGGUAAAGUGCCUGCCUAGCAGGCACAAGGUCCUGGGUUCAAUCCCCAGUACUGCCA
RNAcentral lists this transfer RNA (72 nucleotides) under Camelus ferus (Wild Bactrian camel). It matches the Rfam family "tRNA". From Rfam's summary of the family: Transfer RNA (tRNA) molecules are approximately 80 nucleotides in length. Their secondary structure includes four short double-helical elements and three loops (D, anti-codon, and T loops). The record is from Rfam by way of RNAcentral. Lineage: Eukaryota; Metazoa; Chordata; Mammalia; Artiodactyla; Camelidae.